RNAcentral lists this ribosomal RNA (1365 nucleotides) under Salmonella enterica. Its description in RNAcentral is "bacterial LSU rRNA". It matches the Rfam family "Bacterial large subunit ribosomal RNA", at positions 1589 to 2925 of the family's 2925-position model. Lineage: Bacteria; Pseudomonadati; Pseudomonadota; Gammaproteobacteria; Enterobacterales; Enterobacteriaceae. RNAcentral also lists the same sequence under 2 other names. The record is from RNAcentral.
AGCAACAAAUGCCCUGCUUCCAGGAAAAGCCUCUAAGCCUCAGGUAACAUCAAAUCGUACCCCAAACCGACACAGGUGGUCAGGUAGAGAAUACCAAGGCGCUUGAGAGAACUCGGGUGAAGGAACUAGGCAAAAUGGUGCCGUAACUUCGGGAGAAGGCACGCUGACACGUAGGUGAAGUGGUUUACCCAUGGAGCUGAAGUCAGUCGAAGAUACCAGCUGGCUGCAACUGUUUAUUAAAAACACAGCACUGUGCAAACACGAAAGUGGACGUAUACGGUGUGACGCCUGCCCGGUGCCGGAAGGUUAAUUGAUGGGGUCAGCGCAAGCGAAGCUCCUGAUCGAAGCCCCGGUAAACGGCGGCCGUAACUAUAACGGUCCUAAGGUAGCGAAAUUCCUUGUCGGGUAAGUUCCGACCUGCACGAAUGGCGUAAUGAUGGCCAGGCUGUCUCCACCCGGGACUCAGUGAAAUUGAACUCGCUGUGAAGAUGCAGUGUACCCGCGGCAAGACGGAAAGACCCCGUGAACCUUUACUAUAGCUUGACACUGAACACUGGUCCUUGAUGUGCAGGAUAGGUGGGAGGCUUUGAAGUGUGGACGCCAGUCUGCAUGGAGCCAUCCUUGAAAUACCACCCUUUAAUGGCUGGUGUUCUAACGUGGGCCCGUGAACCGGGUUGCGGACAGUGUCUGGUGGGUAGUUUGACUGGGGCGGUCUCCUCCUAAAGAGUAACGGAGGAGCACGAAGGUUGGCUAAUCCUGGUCGGACAUCAGGAGGUUAGUGCAAUGGCAUAAGCCAGCUUGACUGCGAGCGUGACGGCGCGAGCAGGUGCGAAAGCAGGUCAUAGUGAUCCGGUGGUUCUGAAUGGAAGGGCCAUCGCUCAACGGAUAAAAGGUACUCCGGGGAUAACAGGCUGAUACCGCCCAAGAGUUCAUAUCGACGGCGGUGUUUGGCACCUCGAUGUCGGCUCAUCACAUCCUGGGGCUGAAGUAGGUCCCAAGGGUAUGGCUGUUCGCCAUUUAAAGUGGUACGCGAGCUGGGUUUAGAACGUCGUGAGACAGUUCGGUCCCUAUCUGCCGUGGGCGCUGGAAGAUUGAGGGGGGCUGCUCCUAGUACGAGAGGACCGGAGUGGACGCAUCACUGGUGUUCGGGUUGUCAUGCCAAUGGCACUGCCCGGUAGCUACAUGCGGAAGAGAUAAGUGCUGAAAGCAUCUAAGCACGAAACUUGCCCCGAGAUGAAUCUUCCCUGAGCCUUUAAGGCUCCUGAAGGAACGUUGAAGACGACGACGUUGAUAGGCCGGGUGUGUAAGCGCAGCGAUGCGUUGAGCUAACCGGUACUAAUGAACCGUGAGGCUUAACCUUACAAC